Molecule: ribosomal RNA, 432 nt
Filed under: uncultured bacterium
Lineage: Bacteria
Description: partial 16S ribosomal RNA
Rfam family: Bacterial small subunit ribosomal RNA
Source: RNAcentral
AACGAACGCUGGCGGCAUGCCUAACACAUGCAAGUCGAACGAGACCUUCGGGUCUAGUGGCGCACGGGUGCGUAACGCGUGGGAACCUGCCCUUAGGUUCGGAAUAACUCCCCGAAAGGGGUGCUAAUACCGGAUAAUGUCUUCGGACCAAAGAUUUAUCGCCUUUGGAUGGGCCCGCGUUGGAUUAGCUAGUUGGUAGGGUAAAAGCCUACCAAGGCGACGAUCCAUAGCUGGUCUGAGAGGAUGAUCAGCCACACUGGGACUGAGACACGGCCCAGACUCCUACGGGAGGCAGCAGUGGGGAAUAUUGGACAAUGGGCGAAAGCCUGAUCCAGCAAUGCCGCGUGAGUGAUGAAGUCCUUAGGGUUGUAAAGCUCUUUUACCCGGGAUGAUAAUGACAGUACCGGGAGAAUAAGCUCCGGCUAACUCCGU